AAAAAGACAAACCCUAGGUUUCAGUGUCCAACGUUUGACUGUCCGUCUUAUGAGAAAUUUUUUAUAAUUAGUAUUUUCAUUGUUGUUAGAUGAUAAAACAUGAUUAAUACUUUAUACGUGACUUGUCUUUUUAAUUUUUUCAUAUUUUUUUAAAUAAGACGGACGAUCAAAUGUUGGAUAUGUAAACCCAGGGUUUAUCUUUUU
Oryza sativa Indica Group (long-grained rice) is the source of this 204-nucleotide microRNA precursor. It matches the Rfam family "MIR812 microRNA precursor family". NCBI's taxonomy places the organism in Eukaryota, Viridiplantae, Streptophyta, Magnoliopsida, Poales, Poaceae. The record is from Rfam.